Molecule: ribosomal RNA, 424 nt
Filed under: uncultured Saprospiraceae bacterium
Lineage: Bacteria; Pseudomonadati; Bacteroidota; Saprospiria; Saprospirales; Saprospiraceae
Description: bacterial SSU rRNA
Rfam family: Bacterial small subunit ribosomal RNA
Source: RNAcentral
UAAGGAAUAUUGGACAAUGGGCGGAAGCCUGAUCCAGCCAUCCCGCGUGCUUGAUGAAGGCCCUCUGGGUUGUAAAGAGCUUUAGUCUGGGAAGAAACCGUUUUCUGCGGAAGACGCUGACGGUACCAGAAGAAUAAGCACCGGCUAACUCCGUGCCAGCAGCCGCGGUAAUACGGAGGGUGCAAGCGUUAUCCGGAAUCACUGGGUUUAAAGGGUGCGUAGGCGGUCUGAUAAGUCAGAGGUGAAAGCCUGCAGCUUAACUGUAGAAUUGCCUUUGAUACUGUCAGACUUGAAUGGGGUCGAGGUCGGCGGAAUGUGGCAUGUAGCGGUGAAAUGCAUAGAUAUGCCAUAGAACACCAAUUGCGAAGGCAGCUGACUAGGCCUGUAUUGACGCUGAGGCACGAAAGCGUGGGGAGCAAACAGG